UGGGAUGUAGCCAAGGGGUAAGGCAACGGGUUUUGGCUCCGUCAUGCGCAGGUUCAAAUCCUGCCAUCCCAGCCA
Molecule: transfer RNA, 75 nt
Filed under: Desulfovibrio sp.
Lineage: Bacteria; Pseudomonadati; Thermodesulfobacteriota; Desulfovibrionia; Desulfovibrionales; Desulfovibrionaceae
Also listed under: 1 other name
Description: tRNA-Gln
Rfam family: tRNA
About the family: Transfer RNA (tRNA) molecules are approximately 80 nucleotides in length. Their secondary structure includes four short double-helical elements and three loops (D, anti-codon, and T loops).
Source: RNAcentral